This 206-nucleotide long non-coding RNA is filed under the name Capsicum annuum. RNAcentral describes it as "long non-coding RNA (CANN_LNC016149)". The record is from RNAcentral. Lineage: Eukaryota; Viridiplantae; Streptophyta; Magnoliopsida; Solanales; Solanaceae.
CCCCUUGAAUGUCUAAUUGGUAGAUAAUGUGCCUCAUUAAAAUCUUACAAGAAAAAAUUCAGUAGGAAAAAAAAUUUAGUGAAGGAAAAAGAGUACACAUCUCUAAUAAUACGCAUUUCGGCCGCCUCAUUAAAAACCUUACAAAGAAAGCCCAGUGGGACAAAACCUAAUAAGGGAAAAAGAGUACAACGCAUAUUAACACCCCC